UACGUAGGGGGCAAGCGUUGUCCGGAAUUAUUGGGCGUAAAGAGCGUGUAGGCGGUCCGGUAAGUCAGCUGUGAAAGUCAAGGGCUCAACCCUUGAAAGCCGGUUGAUACUGUCGGGCUAGAGUCCGGAAGAGGCGAGUGGAAUUCCCGGUGUAGCGGUGAAAUGCGCAGAUAUCGGGAGGAACACCAAUGGCGAAGGCAGCUCGCUGGGACGGUACUGACGCUGAGGAGCGAAAGCGUGGGGAGCGAACAGG
RNAcentral lists this ribosomal RNA (253 nucleotides) under uncultured bacterium. RNAcentral's name for it is "partial 16S ribosomal RNA". It matches the Rfam family "Bacterial small subunit ribosomal RNA", at positions 524 to 776 of the family's 1533-position model. The record is from RNAcentral.